CAGCCGCCGCGGUAAUACGGAGGGUGCAAGCGUUAAUCGGAAUUACUGGGCGUAAAGCGCGCGUAGGUGGUUUGUUAAGUUGGAUGUGAAAGCCCCGGGCUCAACCUGGGAACUGCAUCCAAAACUGGCAAGCUAGAGUACGGUAGAGGGUGGUGGAAUUUCCUGUGUAGCGGUGAAAUGCGUAGAUAUAGGAAGGAACACCAGUGGCGAAGGCGACCACCUGGACUGAUACUGACACUGAGGUGCGAAAGCGUGGGGAGCAAACAGGAUUAGAUACCCCCGUAGUCCCUGUCUCUUAUAC
This 301-nucleotide ribosomal RNA is filed under the name uncultured bacterium. RNAcentral describes it as "partial 16S ribosomal RNA". It matches the Rfam family "Bacterial small subunit ribosomal RNA", at positions 509 to 807 of the family's 1533-position model. The record is from RNAcentral.